CAGAAACUCAAAGGAAGUUGACGGGGCCCGCACAAGCGGUGGAGUAUGUGGUUAAUUCGAUGCAACGCGAAGAACCUACCUGGUCUUGACAUCCCGGAGACCCUUAGGAAACUAGGGGGUGCUUCCAUCUGGAAGAAUCUGGAGACAGGUGCUGCAUGGCUGUCGUCAGCUCGUGUCGUGAGAUGUUGGGUUAAGUCCCGCAACGAGCGCAACCCUUGCCUUUAGUUGCCAGCAGUUCGGCUGGGCACUCUAAAGGGACUGCCGGUGUUAAACCGGAGGAAGGUGGGGAUGACGUCAAGUCCUCAUGGCCUUUAUGACCAGGGCUACACACGUACUACAAUGGCCGAUACAAAGGGCAGCGACACUGCGAGGUGAAGCCAAUCCCGUAAAAUCGGUCUCAGUCCGGAUUGGAGUCUGCAACUCGACUCCAUGAAGUUGGAAUCGCUAGUAAUCGUGGAUCAGCAUGCCACGGUGAAUACGUUCCCGGGCCUU
RNAcentral lists this ribosomal RNA (492 nucleotides) under uncultured Desulfobulbus sp. RNAcentral's name for it is "bacterial SSU rRNA". It matches the Rfam family "Bacterial small subunit ribosomal RNA", at positions 894 to 1382 of the family's 1533-position model. Lineage: Bacteria; Pseudomonadati; Thermodesulfobacteriota; Desulfobulbia; Desulfobulbales; Desulfobulbaceae. The record is from RNAcentral.